This 253-nucleotide unclassified non-coding RNA is filed under the name uncultured Bacteroidota bacterium. Its description in RNAcentral is "uncultured Bacteroidetes bacterium contains 16S-23S intergenic spacer region". It matches the Rfam family "Bacterial small subunit ribosomal RNA", at positions 524 to 776 of the family's 1533-position model. Lineage: Bacteria; Pseudomonadati; Bacteroidota. The record is from RNAcentral.
UACGGAGGAUGCAAGCGUUAUCCGGAUUCAUUGGGUUUAAAGGGUGCGUAGGCGGACUAUUAAGUCAGUGGUGAAAUCCUGCAGCUUAACUGCAGAACUGCCAUUGAUACUGAUGGUCUUGAGUUUGGUUAAGGUAGGCGGAAUGUGUAAUGUAGCGGUGAAAUGCUUAGAUAUUACACAGAACACCAAUUGCGUAGGCAGCUUACUGAGCCGACACUGACGCUGAGGCACGAAAGCGUGGGGAUCGAACAGG